Molecule: transfer-messenger RNA, 356 nt
Filed under: Boseongicola sp.
Lineage: Bacteria; Pseudomonadati; Pseudomonadota; Alphaproteobacteria; Rhodobacterales; Paracoccaceae
Rfam family: Alphaproteobacteria transfer-messenger RNA
About the family: Bacterial tmRNA, also known as 10Sa RNA or SsrA, is named for its dual tRNA and mRNA-like properties. Its role is to liberate the mRNA from a stalled ribosome.
Source: RNAcentral
GCCCUUCCAAAUCCGGUUCGUGCCUCUUAUAUUCGGAGUGUUCCGGAAACGGAACUAUGGACAUAAACGCGCUCGCAAUAAGCGGAUCGGACCCGGGGGCGGUACCCGGCGGCUCCACCAGGAACCCUGUCGUUGGAAGGGUAUGCGGGGCCGAAACAGGAUCGACGGACGCCUAAAGGGGUUUGCUUUGUCUCGGUGAGGCACCACCGAUAUCGGUCCAAUCUGCAUAGUUGCCAACGACAACCGUGCUCCGGUGCUUCUCGCUGCGUAAGCGGUGCGAAAAUCCGAAACUCAAGUCCUUGCGCCUAGCCGCGCCAGGCGGGGUCCGCCGGAACCUGGCAACAGAAUCCGGCACU